RNAcentral lists this ribosomal RNA (1434 nucleotides) under uncultured organism. Its description in RNAcentral is "partial small subunit ribosomal RNA". It matches the Rfam family "Bacterial small subunit ribosomal RNA". The record is from RNAcentral.
AACGCUGGCGGCGUGCUCAACACAUGCAAGUCGAACGGAAAGGCCCUGCUUUUGUGGGGUGCUCGAGUGGCGAACGGGUGAGUAACACGUGAGUAACCUGCCCUUGACUUUGGGAUAACUUCAGGAAACUGGGGCUAAUACCGGAUAGGAGCUCCUGCUGCAUGGUGGGGGUUGGAAAGUUUCGGCGGUUGGGGAUGGACUCGCGGCUUAUCAGCUUGUUGGUGGGGUAGUGGCUUACCAAGGCUUUGACGGGUAGCCGGCCUGAGAGGGUGACCGGCCACAUUGGGACUGAGAUACGGCCCAGACUCCUACGGGAGGCAGCAGUGGGGAAUAUUGCACAAUGGGCGGAAGCCUGAUGCAGCAACGCCGCGUGCGGGAUGACGGCCUUCGGGUUGUAAACCGCUUUCGCCUGUGACGAAGCGUGAGUGACGGUAAUGGGUAAAGAAGCACCGGCUAACUACGUGCCAGCAGCCGCGGUGAUACGUAGGGUGCGAGCGUUGUCCGGAUUUAUUGGGCGUAAAGGGCUCGUAGGUGGUUGAUCGCGUCGGAAGUGUAAUCUUGGGGCUUAACCCUGAGCGUGCUUUCGAUACGGGUUGACUUGAGGAAGGUAGGGGAGAAUGGAAUUCCUGGUGGAGCGGUGGAAUGCGCAGAUAUCAGGAGGAACACCAGUGGCGAAGGCGGUUCUCUGGGCCUUUCCUGACGCUGAGGAGCGAAAGCGUGGGGAGCGAACAGGCUUAGAUACCCUGGUAGUCCACGCUGUAAACGGUGGGUACUAGGUGUGGGGUCCAUUCCACGGGUUCCGUGCCGUAGCUAACGCUUUAAGUACCCCGCCUGGGGAGUACGGCCGCAAGGCUGAAACUCAAAGGAAUUGACGGGGCCCCGCACAAGCGGCGGAGCAUGCGGAUUAACUCGAUGCAACGCGUAGAACCUUACCUGGGUUUGACAUGGAUCGGGAGUGCUCAGAGAUGGGUGUGCCUCUUUUGGGGUCGGUUCACAGGUGGUGCAUGGCUGUCGUCAGCUCGUGUCGUGAGAUGUUGGGUUAAGUCCCGCAACGAGCGCAACCCUUGUUCACUGUUGCCAGCACGUUAUGGUGGGGACUCAGUGGAGACCGCCGGGGUCAACUCGGAGGAAGGUGGGGAUGACGUCAAGUCAUCAUGCCCCUUAUGUCCAGGGCUUCACGCAUGCUACAAUGGCUGGUACAGAGAGUGGCGAGCCUGUGAGGGUGAGCGAAUCUCGGAAAGCCGGUCUCAGUUCGGAUUGGGGUCUGCAACUCGACCUCAUGAAGUCGGAGUCGCUAGUAAUCGCAGAUCAGCAACGCUGCGGUGAAUACGUUCCCGGGGCUUGUACACACCGCCCGUCAAGUCAUGAAAGUUGGUAACACCCGAAGCCGGUGGCCUAACCGUUGUGGGGGAGCCGUCGAAGGUGGGACUGGUA